UUUGAGGGCAAAUAAUCCAAAUGUCACGAGGAACUGGUAAUGGAAAGACUCAUAGUUUGUUCCACUCUAUCUAAAGCUGGGAUGAAAGCUGCCUCCAGACCCCCAACCCCACCCCCACCCCUCCCAUCACCUACGGCUCUUCCUCGCCUGCCCUGCCGUUGUGGCCCAGGAGGUUCCCGCUGCCCAAAAGCUCUCUCACCUCCACCUCUGCCAUGCCCGCGUCUGCAACGUCCCCCUCGACUCCUCCACCGCUUCCUCCAUCCGCCGCGGCCCAGGAGGUCCCCGCCACCCUCGAGCUCCUCCACUCCGUCUUCUCCGGGCACAUAGAGGACGCCGUAGCCCCUCCUCCCGUAGUUGGCCGGCCCUGAUCGGCCCGGCAGAGCGAGGCGGAGGGGGUGACGGGUGAUCCUGACGGUUUCAAAGAUCUAGGAUGGCUCCGCCUCUUCUUCCGUGACGAACGGUGCGAGAGGGACGUGACAGACGGCACCGACAGAGCGGGGUAGAAGAGGUGAUGGGUGAUCCAGGCAGUUUCGAAGAUCUGGGGUGGCUUCGCCUCCUCUUUCACGACGGACAGUCCCGCUGCAACUGCGGCGAAGGUUUUUUUUUUCUAACAUGGCGGAUGGAGGCCCUGCGUUGAUGCCAUGUGGCGAAUAAAGACACACCAACGCAUUUGCUCUGUUUUAUAUUAUAUAUAUUAGAUUUUUUUGUUAAGUACAUUAAGGACAUACGAGACGAAACUUUCUCACUUGUACGUGGACGUAUACACAUACGGCUUCUCUAUUUAGGCUGCAAACAAUUUCACUUGUUUCGUCGUAAGGUUGAUUCAUAAAUUAAAGAUCAAGCUUGGCCAAGGGAUUGGCCCAAA
RNAcentral lists this long non-coding RNA (865 nucleotides) under Elaeis guineensis (African oil palm). Its description in RNAcentral is "long non-coding RNA (EGUI_LNC029552)". Lineage: Eukaryota; Viridiplantae; Streptophyta; Magnoliopsida; Arecales; Arecaceae. The record is from RNAcentral.